CUAACUUGAAUGAAGCUCCCUCCAUAAAAACAUUUAUUAACAAUUAAUUAUAUUAAAUAAAAAAGAAUAUUAAAGGGAAAUAAAAUAUAAAUAUUACCCAUUGUAGAGAAACAUAUAUGAUUAAAUUCGACACCCACUCGAUUCCAAUAGAUAAUAAUGACAGUAGUAGAAAGGGAAUUAACAAGCUCCCUAAAAAUUAAAUAGGUACAUAUCAUGGGCAUGGAAUAACUGCUAGUAGAUGAAAGAAACUACUAGCAGUCGCGUUUAUAUAAUUCAAUAGAUAACACCUACCGAAACGGAAUUGACAACCUUGCACAAAAUAUAAUCUACCGCACAAAAUAUAAUCUACCAUGAGUAUUAUAUGAUUCAAUUCGACACCCACUCGAUUCCAAUAGAUGAUAAUGACAGUAGUAGAAAGGGAAUUAACAAGCUCCCUAAAAAUUAAAUAGGUACAUAUCAUGGGCAUGGAAUAACUGCUAGCAGUCGCGUUUGUACUGCGACCCGCACUUCCGUGUAUUAUCAGGACCCUUAGGCACGCAGUAUCGAUUACCUCGGCCGCAACCAAACACUGGUUUCUGACGAAUGAGAGGAUCAACUCCGGCAUUGCGAGAGCCAAGAAUCCUGUUGAUUUCAGAAUCCAUCAUGAACUCCAAAUCUAAGUUGGAAUCAGCUAUGGAGUACAAGGGGACGUCACCGUCCAUUUCCGGCAGUGAAAUACUAGCACCGCAACUUUUUGUGUUGAGCAGCAUCAUCGUCAACAACAACGACGACAAUGUUAGAGCUGACAAGGAAAGGCUCUUCAUGGUAUCUCUUUUAUUUUUAGCUAGCUCUUCUUAACGCUGUCUAUCUAAUCACCUAUAUAUAAAAGCAAGCAUCUAACUCUCUGUAUAUAUAUGGGAGAGUGGCGGUGUUGAAGG
Molecule: long non-coding RNA, 917 nt
Filed under: Populus trichocarpa (black cottonwood)
Lineage: Eukaryota; Viridiplantae; Streptophyta; Magnoliopsida; Malpighiales; Salicaceae
Description: long non-coding RNA (PTRI_LNC003853)
Source: RNAcentral